RNAcentral lists this transfer RNA (69 nucleotides) under Epicauta impressicornis. RNAcentral's name for it is "tRNA-Met". It matches the Rfam family "tRNA". From Rfam's summary of the family: Transfer RNA (tRNA) molecules are approximately 80 nucleotides in length. Their secondary structure includes four short double-helical elements and three loops (D, anti-codon, and T loops). Lineage: Eukaryota; Metazoa; Arthropoda; Insecta; Coleoptera; Meloidae. The record is from RNAcentral.
AAAAAGAUAAGCUAAUCAAGCUAUUAGGUUCAUACCCUGACCAUGAAAGUUAUAAUCUUUCUCUUUUUA